Molecule: long non-coding RNA, 230 nt
Filed under: Elaeis guineensis (African oil palm)
Lineage: Eukaryota; Viridiplantae; Streptophyta; Magnoliopsida; Arecales; Arecaceae
Description: long non-coding RNA (EGUI_LNC017170)
Source: RNAcentral
GGGGAGAUAAGGUUGGGCCCAAUAACUGUUAGGUGAGGAUCCCAAUGAUGGCUUCACUCAUGCUCAAUGGUGGGUCUGAUUUAACUAAAGAAUGAGAUCAAUAACUGUCAGAUGAGAUUUCAGGACCUAGAGAUCAAAUCCACCGUAAUUUACUUAAGAAGUAUUGGACAAAAGUUGUCUAUCUAUUAGUUGAUACAUUUGUCAAUAACUGUCAGGUGAGGUAGCAUGCC